AGAGGUGCAGCUCAGUGGUGGAGCACUUGUCUAGCAUGCAUGAGCCCUGGGUUCCAUCCCCAGCACCACAA
This is a non-coding RNA of Ictidomys tridecemlineatus (thirteen-lined ground squirrel), 71 nucleotides long. The record is from Rfam. Lineage: Eukaryota; Metazoa; Chordata; Mammalia; Rodentia; Sciuridae.